Molecule: long non-coding RNA, 403 nt
Filed under: Brassica napus (rape)
Lineage: Eukaryota; Viridiplantae; Streptophyta; Magnoliopsida; Brassicales; Brassicaceae
Description: long non-coding RNA (BNAP_LNC018829)
Source: RNAcentral
GACUUUCAUAGAACAUGAAGGAGAAGGGUUUCCCCCCUUACUCACUUAGUUUACAAAAUCUGCUACAAUGAGCUUUUAUAUGCAUUACAACUUGAAAGAAUAAACCUAAGAUCUAUGGCUGUGCUUUUCUAAUUUGAAUAGACGACCUGGAUCAGUCUUGAUGGUCAGAUGUGGUCUGUACACGAGCUGGAUAGGAAAGGAGAGAUGAAAGGCCAAGAUCUCUUUGUUUGAAAUGGAUGGCUAUAAAGGCUCACAUGCUUGUACAGCUUGCAUAAUCAUGUGGAGUCAAAGAUGCUUUCUUGGCAGCUUAUGACAGCCUGUCUAGGACCACAUACAGCUCCUCCCUUAUCCUCCAACGUCCAUAAGCUCAGACUUAGCUUCUCUUGCGCCCUAAGAUUUCCCA